Molecule: unclassified non-coding RNA, 585 nt
Filed under: Penicillium atramentosum
Lineage: Eukaryota; Fungi; Ascomycota; Eurotiomycetes; Eurotiales; Aspergillaceae
Description: sequence contains 18S rRNA gene, ITS1, 5.8S rRNA gene, ITS2, 28S rRNA gene
Rfam family: 5.8S ribosomal RNA (bases 219-372)
Source: RNAcentral
UCGUAACAAGGUUUCCGUAGGUGAACCUGCGGAAGGAUCAUUACUGAGUGAGGGCCCUCUGGGUCCAACCUCCCACCCGUGUUUAUUGUACCUUGUUGCUUCGGCGGGCCCGCCUUUAUGGCCGCCGGGGGGCUUACGCUCCCGGGCCCGCGCCCGCCGAAGACACCCUCGAACUCUGUCUGAAGAUUGUAGUCUGAGUGAAAAUAUAAAUUAUUUAAAACUUUCAACAACGGAUCUCUUGGUUCCGGCAUCGAUGAAGAACGCAGCGAAAUGCGAUACGUAAUGUGAAUUGCAGAAUUCAGUGAAUCAUCGAGUCUUUGAACGCACAUUGCGCCCCCUGGUAUUCCGGGGGGCAUGCCUGUCCGAGCGUCAUUGCUGCCCUCAAGCACGGCUUGUGUGUUGGGCCCCGUCCUCCGAUCCCGGGGGACGGGCCCGAAAGGCAGCGGCGGCACCGCGUCCGGUCCUCGAGCGUAUGGGGCUUUGUCACCCGCUCUGUAGGCCCGGCCGGCGCUUGCCGAUCAACCAAAAUUUUUUCCAGGUUGACCUCGGAUCAGGUAGGGAUACCCGCUGAACCUAAGCAUAUCA